GACAGAGGGUGCAAACGUUGUUCGGAAUUACUGGGCGUAAAGCGCGUGUAGGCGGCUACGCAAGUCGGAUGUGAAAUCCCGUGGCUCAACCACGGAAGUGCACCCGAAACUGCGCAGCUUGAGUCUCGGAGAGGAAGGUGGAAUGCUUGGUGUAGAGGUGAAAUUCGUAGAUAUCAAGCGGAACACCGGUGGCGAAGGCGGCCUUCUGGACGAUGACUGACGCUGAGACGCGAAAGCGUGGGGAGCAAACAGG
This 253-nucleotide ribosomal RNA is filed under the name uncultured bacterium. Its description in RNAcentral is "partial 16S ribosomal RNA". It matches the Rfam family "Bacterial small subunit ribosomal RNA", at positions 524 to 776 of the family's 1533-position model. The record is from RNAcentral.